CAAUCUUGGUAGGAAAUAUUCAAAGUUUUUGAUCUUUUCUUGAAAUGCAAGAUAUUGAAAAUGUAAUGUAGUGGAAAAACACAAUUGACUGCCUAACAGAUAUAGUCGACUAGAAAAUAAAGAGUGUAGGGAUCAGAAAAUUCAAACACUGUGUUUAUACUGGUUUUGCCAACAAUGCCUACAUCUAGUGUCCUUCCAACCUAGGAAGCAAAUGCACUAUAAUGGUUGCGGUUUUUACAACAAGGAA
RNAcentral lists this long non-coding RNA (247 nucleotides) under Vigna radiata. RNAcentral's name for it is "long non-coding RNA (VRAD_LNC013472)". Lineage: Eukaryota; Viridiplantae; Streptophyta; Magnoliopsida; Fabales; Fabaceae. The record is from RNAcentral.